GCCAAGGUGUCACAUAAUGGAGAAAAAUGCAGAUGGUCCUGUGGCUGGUGUGAAUGAAGAAUGACCUGGGCCCAACAUAGAACUUUUCCAGUAUGGUCUCUGCAUGUGGGGAGCCAAACUCUAGAGAAGACAUCAGUGAACUGCUGAUUUGGAGUGACUGACACUUAUUCCUGAGAGCCGUACAGGAAGCCUGGUGCUGGCAGAUCUGCUUCUAGGGAGUUCUCAGGAAGCUUCUG
This 236-nucleotide long non-coding RNA is filed under the name Homo sapiens (human). Its description in RNAcentral is "non-protein coding lnc-GALR1-1:2". Lineage: Eukaryota; Metazoa; Chordata; Mammalia; Primates; Hominidae. The record is from RNAcentral.